CGGCCGCAGUACACUGACUGUGCUAAGGUAGCAUAAUAAUUUGUCUUAUAAUUAAAGACUGGUAUGAAAGGGGCCAUGAGGCUAAGCUGUCUUCCUUAAUUUUUUAGAAUUUAAUAAAGGGGUGAAAAUUCCCUAAGUGCUCAAAUAGACGAGAAGACCCUAAGAGUUAUAAAGAUAAAGGCUAAAAGGCUUUUAACUUUUUGUUGGGGCAACAGACUUCAAUAAACUGAGGAACUUAACUAAAAUAUAACAAGUAUAUUAAGGAUGAUUUUAAUUACUCUAGGGAUAACAGCAUAAUUUUAUUUUAAGUUUGUGACCUCGAUGUUGGACUAGGGUCUUAUUAAGUUAGACACUUCAUAAGCUUGUUCUGU
RNAcentral lists this ribosomal RNA (371 nucleotides) under Ena montana. Its description in RNAcentral is "partial 16S ribosomal RNA". It matches the Rfam family "Bacterial large subunit ribosomal RNA", at positions 1928 to 2580 of the family's 2925-position model. The record is from RNAcentral. Lineage: Eukaryota; Metazoa; Mollusca; Gastropoda; Stylommatophora; Enidae.